Molecule: ribosomal RNA, 710 nt
Filed under: Phytophthora capsici
Lineage: Eukaryota; Oomycota; Peronosporomycetes; Peronosporales; Peronosporaceae
Description: eukaryotic LSU rRNA
Rfam family: Eukaryotic large subunit ribosomal RNA
Source: RNAcentral
UAGUACGGCGAGUGAAGCGGGAAGAGCUCAAGCUUAAAAUCUCCGUGCAAGUUUUGCGCGGCGAAUUGUAGUCUAUAGAGGCGUGGUCAGCGUGGGCGCUUGGGGCAAGUUCCUUGGAAGAGGACAGCAUGGAGGGUGAUACUCCCGUUCAUCCCUGAGUGGCUCGUGCGUACGACCCGUUUUCUUUGAGUCGCGUUGUUUGGGAAUGCAGCGCAAAGUAGGUGGUAAAUUCCAUCUAAAGCUAAAUAUUGGUGCGAGACCGAUAGCGAACAAGUACCGUGAGGGAAAGAUGAAAAGAACUUUGAAAAGAGAGUUAAAGAGUACCUGAAACUGCUGAAAGGGAACCGAAUCGUUUCCAGUGUCUAUAAUCCGUGGCAUAUUUCAUUGGCGAGCGUUUGCGUGCGUGUGCUGUGGCAGUGGCUUUUUUGGCUGCGCCUGGCGUGUGUGCUGUGAGUGUUUGCUGGUGCCCUGUGCUGCGGUGGGACGUCAAGGUCAGUUCGUAUGCUGCGGGAAAUGGCUGCCGAGGAGGUAGGGCUUACGCUCCGCGUUUGUCUGUUAUAUCUUGGUGGACGAGUCGUCGUGGUUGGGACUGAGGUGCCUACAACGUGCUUUUGAGUGGGUUUGUGUCUCCGUGUGCGCCGUGUGCGGAUAGCUUGCUAUGCGUGUGUGGUUGUGUGUGGAUUGAUGCGGGCCUUAACUUGUCGCCGUUC